This 257-nucleotide unclassified non-coding RNA is filed under the name uncultured Cryptococcus. RNAcentral describes it as "sequence contains 5.8S rRNA gene". The record is from RNAcentral. Lineage: Eukaryota; Fungi; Basidiomycota; Tremellomycetes.
GAACGCACCUUGCACCCUUUGGCAUUCCGAAGGGUAUGCUCGUUUGAGUGUCAUGUAGACUCAAUCCCUCGGGUUUCCGAGGAGAUUGGACUUGGGUGUUGCCGCUCUGCCGGCUCGCCUUAAAAGACUUAGCGGGAUAGCACCGUAGUCGGCGUAAUAAGUUUCGUCGGUGAAGGUUGUGAUGACUGCUUACAAUCGCCCUCGGGCAAUUUUUGACUCUGACCUCAAAUCAGGUAGGACUACCCGCUGAACUUAAG